Molecule: ribosomal RNA, 467 nt
Filed under: uncultured bacterium
Lineage: Bacteria
Description: partial 16S ribosomal RNA
Rfam family: Bacterial small subunit ribosomal RNA
Source: RNAcentral
GAUGAACGCUGACAGCAUGCUUAACACAUGCAAGUCAACUUGAAUUUGGGUUUUUAACUUAGGUGUGGGUGGCGGACGGGUGAGUAACGCGUAAAGAACUUGCCUCACAGCUAGGGACAACAUUUGGAAACGAAUGCUAAUACCUAAUAUUAUGAUAAUAGGGCAUCCUAUAAUUAUGAAAGCUAUAAGCGCUGUGAGAGAGCGUUGCGUCCCAUUAGCUAGUUGGAGAGGUAACGGCUCACCAAGGCGAUGAUGGGUAGCCGGCCUGAGAGGGUGAUCGGCCACGAGGGGACUGAGACACGGCCCUUACUCCUACGGGAGGCAGCAGUGGGGAAUAUUGGACAAUGGACCAAGAGUCUGAUCCAGCAAUUCUGUGUGCACGAUGAAGUUUUUCGGAAUGUAAAGUGCUUUCAGUUGGGAAGAAAGAAAUGACGGUACCAACAGAAGAAGUGACGGCUAAAUACGUG